GUCCAGGCUUCAGAAGUGUGUUUAUCUUUCAUCUACUGAAGUUGAGUAUGUGGCAAUAGCUGAAGCUGGAAAGAGAUGAUAUGGCUGGCAGAGCGAGAAGAUUCUUUACUCAGAUAGCCAGAGUGCCAUACAGUUGGUGAAAAAUCCAUUCUAUCAUUCGAAGACAAAGUACAUCAGAAGGCGAUACCAUUUCACUCGCAGGGCAGUGGAGGAUGGUGAUAUGUGCUUGGAGAAGAUAGAGGGUGCAAAGAAACCGGCAGACAUGUUGACGAAAUGUGUUGAAGUUGGGAAACUGAGGUUAUGUAAAACCUCAGUUGGUCUUCUGUAGUUGCUGCUACAGAUGUUGCGGUGCG
Molecule: unclassified non-coding RNA, 353 nt
Filed under: Hevea brasiliensis (rubber tree)
Lineage: Eukaryota; Viridiplantae; Streptophyta; Magnoliopsida; Malpighiales; Euphorbiaceae
Source: RNAcentral